GGCGACGUGGCCAAGUGGUAAGGCAGGAGUCUGCAAAACUCUCACCAUGGGUUCGAAUCCCAUCGUCGCCU
Molecule: transfer RNA, 71 nt
Organism: Ornatilinea apprima
Lineage: Bacteria; Bacillati; Chloroflexota; Anaerolineae; Anaerolineales; Anaerolineaceae
Rfam family: tRNA
About the family: Transfer RNA (tRNA) molecules are approximately 80 nucleotides in length. Their secondary structure includes four short double-helical elements and three loops (D, anti-codon, and T loops).
Source: Rfam